AGUGAACGCUGGCGGUAGGCCUAACACAUGCAAGUCGAACGGCAGCACAGUAAGAGCUUGCUCUUACGGGUGGCGAGUGGCGGACGGGUGAGGAAUACAUCGGAAUCUACUUUUUCGUGGGGGAUAACGUAGGGAAACUUACGCUAAUACCGCAUACGACCUACGGGUGGAAGCAGGGGAUCUUCGGACCUUGCGCGAUUGAAUGAGCCGAUGUCGGAUUAGCUAGUUGGCGGGGUAAAGGCCCACCAAGGCGACGAUCCGUAGCUGGUCUGAGAGGAUGAUCAGCCACACUGGAACUGAGACACGGUCCAGACUCCUACGGGAGGCAGCAGUGGGGAAUAUUGGACAAUGGGCGCAAGCCUGAUCCAGCCAUACCGCGUGGGUGAAGAAGGCCUUCGGGUUGUAAAGCCCUUUUGUUGUGAAAGAAAAGCAGCAGGUUAAUACCCCGCUGUUCUGACGGUACCCAAAGAAUAAGCACCGGCUAACUUCGUG
This 492-nucleotide ribosomal RNA is filed under the name uncultured bacterium. Its description in RNAcentral is "partial 16S ribosomal RNA". It matches the Rfam family "Bacterial small subunit ribosomal RNA", at positions 29 to 507 of the family's 1533-position model. The record is from RNAcentral.